RNAcentral lists this ribosomal RNA (1103 nucleotides) under Klebsiella pneumoniae. RNAcentral describes it as "bacterial SSU rRNA". It matches the Rfam family "Bacterial small subunit ribosomal RNA", at positions 66 to 1157 of the family's 1533-position model. The record is from RNAcentral. Lineage: Bacteria; Pseudomonadati; Pseudomonadota; Gammaproteobacteria; Enterobacterales; Enterobacteriaceae.
GUAGCACAGAGAGCUUGCUCUCGGGUGACGAGCGGCGGACGGGUGAGUAAUGUCUGGGAAACUGCCUGAUGGAGGGGGAUAACUACUGGAAACGGUAGCUAAUACCGCAGAACGUCGCAAGACCAAAGUGGGGGACCUUCGGGCCUCAUGCCAUCAGAUGUGCCCAGAUGGGAUUAGCUAGUAGGUGGGGUAACGGCUCACCUAGGCGACGAUCCCUAGCUGGUCUGAGAGGAUGACCAGCCACACUGGAACUGAGACACGGUCCAGACUCCUACGGGAGGCAGCAGUGGGGAAUAUUGCACAAUGGGCGCAAGCCUGAUGCAGCCAUGCCGCGUGUGUGAAGAAGGCCUUCGGGUUGUAAAGCACUUUCAGCGGGGAGGAAGGCGUUAAGGUUAAUAACCUUGUCGAUUGACGUUACCCGCAGAAGAAGCACCGGCUAACUCCGUGCCAGCAGCCGCGGUAAUACGGAGGGUGCAAGCGUUAAUCGGAAUUACUGGGCGUAAAGCGCACGCAGGCGGUCUGUCAAGUCGGAUGUGAAAUCCCCGGGCUCAACCUGGGAACUGCAUUCGAAACUGGCAGGCUAGAGUCUUGUAGAGGGGGGUAGAAUUCCAGGUGUAGCGGUGAAAUGCGUAGAGAUCUGGAGGAAUACCGGUGGCGAAGGCGGCCCCCUGGACAAAGACUGACGCUCAGGUGCGAAAGCGUGGGGAGCAAACUGGAUUAGAUACCCUGGUAGUCCACGCCGUAGACGAUGUCGAUUUGGAGGUUGUGCCCUUGAGGCGUGGCUUCCGGAGCUAACGCGUUAAAUCGACCGCCUGGGGAGUACGGCCGCAGGGUUAAAACUCAAAUGAAUUGACGGGUGCCCGCACAAGCGGUGGAGCAUGUGGUUUAAUUCGAUGCAACGCGUAGAAACUUACCUGGUCUUGACAUCCACAGAAGUUUCCCGAGAUGGAUUGGUGCCUUCGGGAACUGUGAGACAGGUGCUGCAUGGCUGUCGUCAGCUCCUGGUGUGAAAUGUUAGGGUUAAGUCCCGCCACCACCGUACCCUUUUAUUCUUUGUUUGCCAGGGGGUUUUUGCCCGGGAACUCCAAAGGAAACUGCCCGUG